This 468-nucleotide ribosomal RNA is filed under the name uncultured bacterium. RNAcentral's name for it is "partial 16S ribosomal RNA". It matches the Rfam family "Bacterial small subunit ribosomal RNA", at positions 28 to 507 of the family's 1533-position model. The record is from RNAcentral.
GACGAACGCUGGCGGCGUGCUUAACACAUGCAAGUCGAACGGAAAGGCCCUGCUUUUGUGGGGUGCUCGAGUGGCGAACGGGUGAGUAACACGUGAGUAACCUUCCCUUGACUUUGGGAUAACUUCAGGAAACUGGGGCUAAUACCGGAUAGGAGCUCCUGCUGCAUGGUGGGGGUUGGAAAGUUUCGGCGGUUGGGGAUGGACUCGCGGCUUAUCAGCUUGUUGGUGGGGUAGUGGCUUACCAAGGCUUUGACGGGUAGCCGGCCUGAGAGGGUGACCGGCCACAUUGGGACUGAGAUACGGCCCAGACUCCUACGGGAGGCAGCAGUGGGGAAUACUGCACAAUGGGCGGAAGCCUGAUGCAGCAACGCCGCGUGCGGGAUGACGGCCUUCGGGUUGUAAACCGCUUUCGCCUGUGACGAAGCGUGAGUGACGGUAAUGGGUAAAGAAGCACCGGCUAACUACGUG